Small nuclear RNA from Rattus norvegicus (Norway rat), 146 nucleotides. Ensembl annotates it as U1 spliceosomal RNA. The record is from Ensembl. NCBI's taxonomy places the organism in Eukaryota, Metazoa, Chordata, Mammalia, Rodentia, Muridae.
AUACUGGCAGGGGAGAUACCAUGAUCAUGAAGGUACAUUUCCCAGGGCAAGGCUCACCCAUUGCACUUGGGGUGGUUUCCCCAAAUGCAGGAAACUCGACUGCCUAAUUUGUGGUAGUGAAGUACCUGCAUUCACGCACUCCCCUG